Equus asinus (donkey) is the source of this 13846-nucleotide long non-coding RNA. Lineage: Eukaryota; Metazoa; Chordata; Mammalia; Perissodactyla; Equidae. The record is from Ensembl.
UGAACACCAAUUUGUAAAGGGGAGGGAGGGAAGGAGUUCUGAUAAGAUGACAUUUGAAUAGGAAACUGACGAGCCAUGUAGGUGUCCAUGGCAACUGUGUUCCCAGCUGAAGGACAUCAAAGGCAAAGACCCUGAGGCAAGCUCUCAUUCUGACUCUGGGUUCAUCCACGACUUGCUUUGGCCCAUGGAAUGUUAGCAAACACGAUGGCGUGCAGAGCCUGAAAAGCACAUGUAUUUCCUCUUGCCCUUUUUGGGUGAUGGGGUGUAUUCUCUUUUUCCUCUCUGCCUUGUCAUGAGAACAUGCCCAGGCUAACCUACUUCAGAUGGGUGAGAAACAUGUGAAGAAGAGCCAAUGCCGUGUUAAACUAGGUGACAGCCAGCCGACUUGCACACAUAUGAGGAUGGUCAAUGGAGAUCAGCUGAAGAGCCCCCAAUGCACACUUCUGACGGCAGAUGUAAAAGCAAUUAUUGUUCGGCUGCUGCCUUUCAGAAUUCUCUCUAAGUGCUAAUCUCUACUGCUGUUCUCCUGUGAGUCAGAAGGCAUUCUUGCAUUGAAGUUUUGAGGCUGCGAGAAAUUGCCUACGCCUGUAAACAGAGUCUCCUCCUGUUGGUGGAACCCGACUGGAAGCCAGAAGGCAAGAGAACCCAGGUGAUGCAGCCAAAGUGGUCACCCUCUCGAGGUACAGCCAGCAAGAGAAAAGCCAGGAAGAUCUGGAGAGGAAAAAGAAGAACAACCAACACCCUAGUUUUUCAACACUUCAGUUUCCCAGAAAUCCAUGUCCUUUUAGUUGCUUCCAAGAGCAGCACUUUAUUAAAAUUCUGAAAAAUUAGAAGUCUGAAAAAGUCCUUUUUGUCAUUAAGCCACUGUCAGGGUUUUGGAUGGGGCUCAAUAAAUAGAACAUACUCUGGAAUAAUCCAAAAUAAUGGCAAGUGGAAGGCAAAAUAGCAUGCUUACAAUCAGUCAAGUUAGGUUCGAGGGAACAGCUUAGUGAAAAGACCUGGUGAAUCUGCCAGCUGAGCCGUGGAAACAGAAUUCGUUUUGUGUUAUGAGCACAAUUCAUCAGUCUUCUCCAACCAGUCUCAGAUGGCACCAAAUCCCAUGGGGGAGAGCCUGUUUCUAGAGGAAAGUAGAGACUGUGAGCUUCCUCUGAGCAAUUUGUCCCCUGCCCCACGUUCCAGGGGAAGAUGGGGAGGAAAGAGCAGGCCUAUGCACCAGGGCAAAGCUGGAAGUGUAGAGUCCAGCACAUGCCGUUUGAGGGGAGCUCAUGCCCAAGAGGAAGGUGGGUGAAGUGGGGCACAUACAUGCCUAGUUCUUUUUCCCAAACUUCCCAGGCAGGGCACUCUCUCCACUGCCUUGGAGCAGAGUGAGUUAAGGGCAUUGGAGGGAACUGCCUCUUCUCCAUCAUGUCUUCUCAUUCAUUGGUUCAUUCAGCUUACACGCUUUCAGGAGUCAGGCACCCUACAGAUGCGGGGAAUGCAAAGAUGAACAGGAUGCGAUUUAUCCCUAGAUGGUGAUAAUAAGAACAGCCAGCAGUUACUGAGCAUGUUCCUUAAGGGAGGAUGUGUUUUUCAUUCAUUUCUCAUGAAACGUUCACAGCCACCAUAGUAGACAGAUAUUAUUACUAACUUCAUUUUCCAGCUGAAGGGACUGAGGCUUGACGAGGUUAAGGGUCUUGCUCAAAGUCACAGAAAUUAGUUAAUGCAGUUCUAGUUUUCAAAUGUGGGCAGUUUGGCUACAGAGCUGGUGUUCUUCACUCCUUCCCAUGGCACAGGCCAGUGGUGGAGACAGGCAUGGGGAGAAAUAAUUAAAGUGUCAUGAAGGAGGUAAGUGCCAGUGGAGGGCUGUACGGCAUGGUGAGGGAGCAGAGGAAGGAGUGACUACACAGGCCUGUGGGUAUGACUUUUGUGCAAUUUCCCUUGUCCAUUGCCAGAAAUCGACAUGGGGAGUCUUUUUGGGGCAUGCUUUGCUAUUCCUAUACGUGGACUCAGAUAUAGUGCUCAGUUCAUGCUGCCCCGCUGCCCCUCCCAAGCAUAACAGCACUGAAAAUAAUUUCUUCCUGACAUCUUGGACCCCCUCCAAGAGUUCUCUUCCAGCUUUUGGACAAGGCAGAAACAGGAAGAGGAUGUCCUAAUGUUCCCGGACUAGAGACUGAGUUGGAAUUUGGAAUAGUUUUGUGAUUAAAAUCCUUGUGAAGAUUCUAUCAUCCUAUAUGAUAUGUGUGUGUGUCCACACAUAUCAGCUAUGAUACAUGUGCCAUAGAGAAUCACUAAAAUCAGCUUAGAGAUUGGUUAAAUUUCUAUACUUCUAUGGUUUAUAGGGCUUGUGUAAAAAGAAGAUGAUUUUCUAUUUAUAAAUUUUCUCACUUCAAAGACUUUUUUAUGCCACAACUUUGUCAUAAGUUAGUAGCAAUGUAUCACAAUGUCUGCUAACCAUGCAAAACAAAUUCAUUUUUCUGUUUCAUUCCUCUAGGUAGGAAUUGUUUCAAUUGGACCCCCUUUCUCACAGCUUAUCUUUGAGAAAUGGACCAUCUGUACCUUUGGUUUUUAUAUCACUCGAUCCUAGAGUAGGUAUCAUUAAGUCGAUGUGACCAGACUGGAUACUGUACACAGGUGCCGUCUGCUGCCGCCAAGUGAUGGCCUAUUCAUGCCAGGAUAUUAAGUACAUCCUGCAGUUGGUGUAAACACCAGGUGGGAUUCUAAUCCAUUCAGCACAGAGCCCCUCGCUUUUUCCUCUUUAAUGAAUGAAAAUCUCUGGGAAGUCCCUACUCAAGAAUUUUCCAAAGCUUUUGAAGUCAGCGAGCCUCCAAAACGACCCAAGAAGAGAAGACCUAAUUACUCCCGAACCUCCCCAUUCACACUUAUUUCUUGGAGUGACCUCAGAAACUCACAGAGAAGUUCCAAGUUAACAUGCAGCCCCUUUCUUGUGCUAGGUUACUCCUUCAGGCUUUCGGGGUUGGAGAAAUUUUCUCUCCUUUCCAAAGUUGAAACUGCUUGGGAGCUUUGCUCCCCUGACUCAUUGCUACCCUAUUCUCCUCUUAGGGUUAUAGAGAAGACAAAGCGAGAGAAGGUAAUGCUCACAACCAUGGGAUACCUUCUGGGUCUUGAGUAAUCAAAGCAGGGUCUUUGGUCUGUAGAACAAAUGGUGACACUAUGAAGAUCCAACCAGAGCCAUCAUCAGGGGAUUUCCCAGGAGGAAGGACAGCCCUGCUAACUGAUCUGGCCAGAUACCACCACACAAAGGGGCACGGGCACUGUAACUCCACUCCAGCGGCCUCUCAUUCCUUAGGCAUACCGGUAUAUCCUACUGGCACAGGAGGUCUGACAAGCGGAGGAAUUUUGGAGAGGGCACAGUGCACUAGACUUGCAGGAAAAGAUGCUGUGUCUUCUAAGAACUUAUCUAUCCUCAAAGGAAUCACCCGAAAAUGCACAAUUGUGGCAAACCAGAGGCUGUCUCCCAAUAUUCAUUCUUUCUUUUUUCUAUAGUAUCAGAAUCCUCAAUAUGUAGCUAAGAACAUCCUGGAAGCUCUGGUGGUCAUGUGACUAAGUUUUGGCCAGUGGGGUACAAGCAGAAGUGAUGCCAUUUCUGGGUGGUGCCCUUAAAGGGAAGAAGCAGGCACUCCCUUUCUCCAUCUUACCUUUUGAUUGGCUGGACUGUGACUGUGAGGGUAAUCCAUCUUGGACCAUGUGGGUCCAAGGAUGGCAGAGCUACGUGAUAGAAGGCAUGUGGGUCUCGGAGCAUCGAGCUGCCAUUCCUGUCCUGGACUGUUUACUCCCAGACUGUUAGAGGAGAGAGGAAAAACCAUCUAUUGUGUUUAAACCACUGUUAUUUUGGGUUUCUGUCAAAGCAGUCAAGGUUUUAUCCUAAGUCAGUGACUCUGGAGUUCAGUAGGAUGGAGUCAGGUUUAGCUGAGCACAUUGCCUUGUUAAUCUCACGCGUCCAUUUCAACAGGUAGCAUUGCUCCUCCCAGAGCUCUGUAGCUUCCAUUUAGGGUGCUGCCUUUUGGGGGCUACUCAGAGUAAGAAAGGGCUAUGAAAUUAGGCCUCAGCUAGAAUUGGGAUUUGAGAUCUAGACUUUUCGCUUAGGCUCAAAAAUUCUGCCCACAGCUGUCACUCCAAACACUGCCCUCUUUCUCUGGCACUCCCUAAGAUCGACAUCCGUAAGAACAGGACUACUUUUUCAGACAUGACUACAGUGUUUGAACUUGUUGCUAGGACAUCUAUGGAAUUUCCAUAUUCUACCCCAGGAAAGAAAUCUAAUUUUUCUUUGAUGCCACAUUCUUCUUUAGCCAGAAAUACAAGGGAAACACUGUUUGCUGUGGCAUUUUGGCAGAACUCUGAAGUGUGGCCCGGAUCUGGGAACCCACAAUCCAAGAAUAAGUCACCAUUUGCGUACAAAAUUGUUGAAUUUGGGUAGAAACUAGGUUCAGCUAUGCUUGUGAAGCCACUGUCUUGCAGGGUCAAAAAGAGCUUAUUUUUCAAGCAAGUGUGUUUCACUGUUUACUGGCGACUACCAAAAUAAUUAUUUCCUGUGUGGGUCACGGAGAGUGAGGUAAUCCGAAGGAAAAUGUUCCAUUGUGCUUGCUGGGCUGGGCAGUGCAGCAGCUCCAGACGUCCCCUUAAAGCAACAGUCAUCGUGUUGGAUGGUCAAGUCUGGUUCCCAUGUCCUUUGGAGGGAGAUGCAUUUUCUAAUUAAUACUUUCAGGAUCUUGUGAGAGACAGCAAAGGUGAAUGUACACACACACAUACACAUUAAUACAUCUGUAGGUGCCAUUAUCAUGUGGUUCAUUUAGCCGGUUUUAUAGAUGUUUUAGAAAGAGAAUGUGUAUAUAAGCCAAGAUAAUGCUCUCUGCUCCUAUCAACGCAAAAGCAAAACUUACCGGCCACAAGUUGUUAUUGGUUCACUUGUCUGUCUUGAGCCACUUGAGGGCAUGCUUCAUUUGUCUCCAUCUUCCCAGCCCACAUAAUGGCCCAUGACUGGCUGUGAUGCCCAUUAAUCACCUGUGGAUGAGUGUAUGGCUUGCAAAGGAAGUGCAUUCCAGGGAGAGCACUAGUACUCCAAAACGGAUUUCUCUGGUGCUGUGACACUGAGAUGAGAGAGUUUGCCAGGAGUGCUGGCCAGCCAGGACUGGAGCAUCUCUGAGGUGCCAAACUCCACGGUCCCAGAGAUUAAACAGCUCUGUGCUUCCUACCACCAUCCUUUCUGGAGUCAGAGAAGUAGGCACAGAAUUAUCCACAUCACUCGGUAGAUCCUGGCAGAGCAAGUAGAGUGAACUAUGGCAGCCAGGUCAACAGGUGACAGAUGAUCAAAUUAGGGCAAAUGGGUUCCACUUCUUGUCCAUAAAGCAGAAGAAUGCUUUUGCAUGUACACUAUCUGAUACUUCAUCCUGCCUCAGCUUCCACUACUACUCUGGCAUAGGAGCUUACUGUGUACCUUACAGAGUACAGAGCUGCAUAUUGUAAAAGGGAAUGUUUGUUACUAAUUAAUCCAUUAACCAGUUUUUACUGAGUGCCUGCUGUGUGCUAGGCGUUGUAUUGGUGCUGGGGUACGGAGGUGAAUAAGCCAGAUGUGGUCUCUGCCCUUAAGAAGUUUAGCCUCUGAUGGAAGAGAUAGAAAAAUACACAAUAAAUAUAAGGAAUAAUUGCAAAUUGUGGCCAUUUAAGAAAAAUAAACUGGAUAUUUGAGAUAGGGUAUAAAAGAAGGAUGUACACAAUUUACGUAAAGUGGUCAGAAAUGACUUUCAGAAGAAGGAGAAAGCCUUGGCAAGAGUGAAGGGGAAGAACAUUCCAGAAAGGGGAAAAAGCUCAUGUGAAGGACCUGGUGCCUAAAACAAACUGGUAGUUUAGAGGAUAAGAAACCAAUGCUCAUGGGUCUGCAGCAGAGUGGUGAGGGGGAGAGUGUGCCUUAGCUGGCAGAAGUCCUCCAAGGAUUUUUGGGUCUACUGUCAAGGACAGAAGAUCACGUGGAGAAUGUGGCAUGCUUGCAGAGUGGUCAGGGGCCUUGAUGUUAUUAUCCAGAGCAAGAGGUCUGAGCUCAAGUGUGGUCCUUCUGCUAAUGCUGAAAAUCUCGUCUCAGCUACUGUGUCCCACCCUACUGAGUGAGCAGAAUGGAAAGUUGGAAUUCAUCUAAAAUGUGGGAGAAAAACAAGUGCAGGUGGAACUGUGGAGCUUAUGGUUCUGGCCCAAGCGUUGGGCCCCAAGGAGAAAACCACAGGUAGGAGUGGCCAUCCACAUUCAGUCAGUGUUUGGAACUGGGGGCUAAAGAGAACCCUGAUAUUGAGGUCUAAAAUGUUAAUGCACUUUCUGCUCCUCGAUCUUUCAGGCUAUAAGACAUCUGGGAAGUGUCCUUUAUGGAUGUCAUUAAGAUGCUGUCAGAUUCCACUUGAGACCACAGGGCAUGCAGUGCAUGCGUGCGUGUGUGUGCCCAUGUGCGUGUGUGCGUUCACGUGAUCCACAUGCAGGUGAAGGAGAAGCUGAUGGCGGCAGAGGGACUGGCUUACUCAGGGGUUCUUAACCAGGGGUCUGACAUAAUCUUGGGCAGGAAAAAAAUUACAUCUUUACUUUCACUGACCUCUCUAACUGAAGUUUAGCAUUUCAACAACACAUUUAGGCAACAAACCACAGAAAUCUUUGCAAUACUUGUGACUUUGUCAUCAUUUGAAAUCACAGAAUUUUCAAGUCACAUUAUAGUUGCUGAGACGUGGCAAAACAUCACCUAUGCCUAUCACAACUUUAGAAUUACAGUGGUUAUCCCACCACCACUCCAUCUUGUUAUUUAAUGUGUUAAUAAAGCGCAUUUAUUACUAUAUCAUGUUUUAAAAAAUAUUUGAAAACUGCAUACAAUGCUUCUGGUUUUCUUUGUGUUCUUAUGUAUUUUAUUUUUUGCAUUUCAAAAUGUAAUUGUGAGAAGUAGUUUUUAGGCUUCCAGACCACCAAAAGAAUAAGAACUGUCAGACUUAUCAGACAGUCUUGUCAACUGGAUGUAAUAAGAAUGUUGGGGACAAAACAUCCACAUGUUCACUUUCCUGUGAGGCCAUUUUGCCUUCUGACUGAGCAGAAAAAGAGAGGAGACAGUAAGUACUCGUCAACCCCAUGUUCAUGCAGAAACGUACGUAUUUUUAUCCAGCUUGUAGAUCAAUUCAGACACUCAGUUUCUGAGAAAUGAAAAGAGAGUGGUGGAUCUCGAGAGACUAGAGAAAGAUCUGAGAGAGAGUGCCCACAAUCUGGGGUACAACGGGUGCAUUUCCACAAACCCUUCCUAAGCAGAGAUCUGGAAAAAGAACAGACAAUUUUCUCAAAGCUCUGUCCUCCAGGGCUGCAGAAAGUCCGUGCUGUCAGACUGAGCCUUCCUCAUUGCCUUGGGCUGUCGCCCCAGAGUCCUCAGGGAUGAUGUCUGUAGGCACGAUGAAGGUCACUAGCCAGUCUGCCACCUCCGCUGCUUACCUGAUGGGUGCUGUUUGUAGAAAGUCUAAUGUCUUGGCAGAGACAUAGUACCAACAGCAAGCCCUGAGAAGUCUGCUUGGUCUCCCAAAGUCUGAGUGGCACCCAGAGGUAAGAAAUGCCUUCACGUGCCUCUCUGAAAUUAAAAUGCUUCUAUUUCUGCAUCUUGAAGGGAGGGGGAAGAAAGGAAAAAAGAGAACUUUGUUCAUUUUUUCAGAGAGUUUUGAAGUUGAAUUUAAAGCCUAGGAGGUCAUUCACUUCUCCCCUCCCCGCCCCGUCGCCCAUACAGCCUGAACGGUGGUUUCUGAAAGGCUUCUCCCACUGACUCACACAGCCUAGGAAAGCUCCUUCCAAAACGACAGUUUAAUGGCAGAGGGCAGGGAGUCAGAAGUCAUCAGCUUUCCCAAGAUCCCAAGUCUCAGAGCUGGAAGAAGUAUCUUUCGGUCCUUUUCUGCUACUUAGUAGGUCUUCUCAUCUAUAAAAUGGACCAACAGUAAUGGCUCCUCCAUAGAGUUUUUAUGAGAUAGUGCGUGUGCAUUGAAACAAGCAUGGUCAAUGUUUGUCAAUCUCUAACUGCUGUAACUGGUGUUUUCCUAGACAAGUAUGAUUGUCUCGAAGAAGUUUCCUCCUUUUUAUUAAUGCUAAGGCAUUCAUUUGCGCCCCAGGUGUAUUUCCUAUCAUCUCCUCUUUUCUCCCCUACAGAUGGUCCUCUCUCUCUUAUCUCUUCAGUCUUUCUCUCUGCGAUGUCUCCCUUGCCUGAGCAUGAAAACCUGCUUACCUCUCUGUCUCUCCCACCUUAAACAAACCCUCCCCUGCCCUCGCAUCCUGCUCUGGCUCCUGCUGCCUCCUGUCUCCACCUUUGGGACCUGUCUUCCUGCAGAGAGCCAAGGGUGGCCCGGGUUCCGGGCUGGUGGGAGCUUCCUGGUAGAGACUCUGUACCUGCAGGUGGGGCCUGUGGUUUUCCAGCAAUGCCCAUGGCUGCUGGGUCAGCCUGCCUGACCCCGUGGGGCUGGUGGGGGGCGGCAUCUUCGUCCCCCCACCAUAUCACAUUCUCUGGUACUGCUCUGUUGGUGAUAUUUGAAUCUCCGUCAGCCUGAUUCUUGUCUUUUUUAGUCUCUUAUUUGAUUUAGAGCUGAAUGAGCAAGUAGAAGGGAGUUAUUUGUUAGUCUCAAACCCCAGCCAUGGAAAAUGCCAUGAUUUAAGGGGCAGGAGGGGAAGAGCAGCCCGUGAUCUGAUCUGCUUCAUGGCUUCAUCAUAAUCCUGGGCAGGGAGCCAUUCCUCCCCUCCCCUUGCCCUUCCCAGUUCCUGCUGAACCGCUAGGAGGUCUCAGAAACCCCCUUCAGCACCCUGAUCCCGGCAGAUACCCAUCAGUUGGAGUUGAUGUAAGAGAUUAAACCUAUUUGAAAGCCUGGAUCUGGCAGGCUGAUGUCUCCUAAGUCUAACAGCAGCCCAGCCUGUGUGCUGAGCCACGUUGUGAGGGGUCCUUACUGUCAGUUCAAAGAACAAACUUCUUGCCACGGCACGGCCGGCUGGCUGCCUGUCACCUCCUCAGUGUUCCUUCUGUUCCAGCCACACGGAGGUUCUCCUGGUUCCCUAAGCAAGCUGCAUGCUCUUAGGCUUUUGCAAAUAGUGUCUGCUUUGCUUGGAAGGAAAGUCCAAUUCUUCCUCACUGCUGGUCUGGCCAAAUCGGCUUUUCCUGCAAACCACAGCAUCCAGCCUCAAGAAGCCUCUCUGGGUAAGUUAGGGGCUCUGCCUCGGUGUUUCUCCCAGACCUGAGUUCCCUGGGGACAAGGGGACUGCCUUGGGAUCCUCAGCGGGUAGAUCAAGGCCUCCUCCAUUGUGGGCACUGAACACAGCUUUGUUGGGUGAAUGAGUGAAUUUUCGAGGUCACCACAGACUUUCCUAUCCUUGCUUGUUCUGCUUCGAAGUCCCCUAAACAAUUCCAAUUUUUCUAGAAGAUUCCUAUAACAAUUUGGAGUAGCAAAGGUGGGCAAAUUUCAUACAAUGAACACCUAAGUAGCUUAUAUUCCUGAUGUGGAUGAGAUUUUCCCUCGGUUUCCAGCAUCGGUCCUGGCCCCCCGAUGAAGAGAAAGCCCGGUUAGGUUUUAGUCUCUCCAGGUCUGAGCAGCCUAUAAUGAAACAGAAGCUAGAUGCUGUGAGAACAAGUUUAGCCUGGAGUUUUCCUCGAGACCAUGUAUGAAAGACACCACGCGCACUGAGGUAUAAGUGGGUAUUUCUGGACGGAUUCUUAGACUAGUGCUAGAUUCGUCUGGACCUUGCCUCGGGCCUUGCCUCUUUGCUCUUGCUCCUUAAAGUCAGUAUUGGGCUUCUGGUAACAUCUCAGUUAUGGCUUUUUUUUCCUCCUCAAGUUCCUCGUUUCCCCCUCCAAUAAUUCUAGGAGAAAACACAAAAUCGUCAAUUUUAUCAUCUGUAUACACGGGAGGUUAGUAAAGUCUUUAGUGUGUGUGUGUGUGUGUGUGUGUGUGUAUUAAGAUGGAAGUACAGUGACUUAGAAAGAAAGUACUGCUUUUUUCUAAAACUUAAAGGAAAAACUAAGGCUUAAAAACUCAACAUGCUUUUAGCUUUUUAUUAUAUCUGGCACAUAGCAAUGCUUACUAAAUUCUAGCUACAAUUCUUAUUCUAACUGCUAAUAUUAUUAUCAGUAGUAAUAGGAUCCAGUGCUCGGAAGCUAGUGUGGGAGCCUCCUCUGCUGCCCCAGAGUCUCCAUAGGAAGUGGAGAUCGUGUCUAUGAGCUGGAGCUCACCCAAGCUACUUUUGGGACAAACAGGAUCAUGUGUUUGGGACAGAGGUCAGCAGCUGUUCCCCCUCCAUGGCAUUCCAGAGUUGUGGACAGAUGUAUUCAGAUUGACCUUCCUUAUUCGAUGAGUGUGGGAACCGGUGGGGAAGGUUAGAGGGAGGGAGAUACAGCAGGAGGGCGGGUGAGAAGCUUCCCAAGGGGGCCCAGUGACAUGCGAGACUGUUGAAAGCAAUGCUGAAGUUAACAGUUCUGUUUCCUGGAGGUUCUAUGCUAGGAAACAUGUUAGGGGAUGAAGGCCCUUGCGAUUUUUCCAAAGGAGGAAAACCAGGCCUGACGGUUUUCCCAAGGCCAGGAUGAGAUUGUACUUCCUGAAGAGGUCAGAGGGCGCCUCCUUACCAUUCUGCUGAUUGCACAGCAGGGAACAGAAGAGGGUCAAGGCAGGUUCACUGCAAGAUGUGGAGUGAAAUACAUUCCUCACCUUGCCCUCCCAACCCCAGUCAUAUUUAAUUAACAUUCCUGUUUCUAGGAAAUCUCCACAUGUCCCAGCGGCUUCAAAAAAUUAAAAAUUCAGCCUCACACAGGGCCCUUGGUACUUUUGUGCAAUUCCAGCAAUACAACGGGCAGCUGGUCUUCUAUGAGACCAAAAGAACGUGGCUCUGUGAGACGGUCAGAUUUUCCGAACAACAGGAUUUGAGAAUAGCACAGUAGACUUUCCUGAUUUCUUUGGGUCCUGAGACUUGUAAGUUUCCACUGUCAUAAUGGUUUAGUCAGAGUCUGAUUGGUAACAGUCUUUCUCACCUUUAAUGAUGUUGGUUGGUGUUUUCUGUAUCUGCCACGCCCCUUCUGCUUUUUUUCCAGAUUACCAGGAGAAUGAACCCGUCGUCAAGAACUGUCCUGAAGCUCAGAUCGGCAUUGCCUGGGCUCAUGAUGCGUCCUUGCUGACAGUACACAAAUUCUUGGUCUCAUCAGGGGAAGUCCUGUAGGAUGAUGUCAAAACAACAGAAAUCUUGCUUCUUCUUCUUGCCUGGGUCUGCAUGAGUGCAGGCUCAGCAGGGAAGCAACGAGAACCACAUACUCCUUACUGAAGGAAUGUUUUGCAAGUGACAUUUGGAAUUCUCGCUGAAUCCUUAUGAAGUUGGUGCUGAAGGUCACAUGCACCUAUCAAGGAGAUACAUUCCUCUUUAAAAACUUUGCUCCUAACCACUGCAUUGUCAAUCACAUAGUCAAGCUGUUGGCUGAUGGGGAUGGGGUCUACUUUUCCCGUGAUGCUCGAAUCUAGAGAUCACUUUUUUGAGUCAGACCACAUUGAGUUCAAAUCCCUGCUUUGCUACUUGCUGUGUGAUUGUGGGUAAAUCACUUAACCUCUCUAAGCUUCUGUUUCCUUACCUAUGAAAUGGAGAUACUGAUGGUACCAACCUCCUAGAGUUGCUGUGGCGAUUCAAUGAGAUGAUGCAUGCAUAAUGCUUCGCACAAUACUGGGGGGCAGGGGGCCUCCAGCGAAUGUUAGCAACUGCUUUUCCAACUUGGAGCCAUAGGUCUGCCUCCACAGGUGGUUAAAUGGUUUUUGGGUAAUUGUUUUAAGCUACUUUUCAUCAUAUUUUUCAUGCAAUCCUUCAUAAAGCCUCCUAGAUUGUUCCUGCAAAUACAUCUUUGUGUCAUACUUGUUUACUCUGGGAUUAGUCAAUCAAUAUGGCAGUUAUUUUGUGCUUUCAUUUCUUUUAGGCAUAGUGCAAUGUUCGUCAGGCUUCAGUCCUGCUGGCUUGUGAUAUGCAUGACUGUCUUAAUUCAUCUUUGCCUUUUUUUUUUAAAGGAAGAUUAGCCCUGAGCUAACAUCCGUGCUCAUCUUCCUCUACUUUCUGCGUGGGACACCUACCACAGCAUGGCUUGCCAAGUGGUGUCAUGUCUGCACCUGGGAUCCGAAAAAGUGAACCCUGGACUGCCGAAGCGGAACGUGGGGACUUAACCGCUGCGCCUCCCGGGCCGGCCCCCAUCUUUGUCUUUGUCUAUUUUUUGAAUAAGUGUCUCAUACCAACAGCUGGGUAAUACCACACUACUCAACGAGAGAAUCUCAGCGUCAUUAUUUUCCCACAAUCACCAUGUGAGCAUUUGAACCUCUGUAAGGCAGAGCUUUGGGGAAAAUUAGAAACUCAAAUGAAAGGCAAGUUUCUAGCUGGAAUUUAGAUCAAAGAAGAUCUUAUCCUGGUAGGCUUGCUCUCCAUGAGUUAGAGAGAGACACGGGGCCAUCGUCGACUGGCUUGACAACUGCAAAUCUUGAAGACUCUACAGUGAUCCUUUGUAGUUUAUACUGGUAUGUGUUAUUAUUAAAGCUUGCGCAUCAAGGAAGAAUAUUCUGCUAAUUCUCAAACAGGGUUCUGGCGGUACUGAUGCUGUCAAGUAAAAUCAAUCCAUGUAAAUACAUGGGACGUAUAUUCAAUGAUCCAUUUUGAUUGAUCCACCAAACAUUUAUUCAGCCCCUUAUAAUAAGCAUGAAAUAGAGAUUCAUUAAAGCUUGUUUUUAUCUUAAGGGUGGAGAGAUUCACACAUCAUGUGAGAUACGAACAACUUAUUGAGUGAGGUAUUUUCAUCUCCAUUUUACACACGAGGAAUCGUGGCUGUGACUUCCUAGGAUCGUAUGGCUACGAAAUGGCCCAACUGGAAUUUGACUCUAAGUCCAGGGGGUUCAAGUCCUAUGCUUUUAGCCACUGGAAUUCCCAGAUGUGUGGUUUCUUCCCCAUACCAACCAAUCCUCUGACGUCAGCUCAACGUCCUUCCGUUCAAUUCAGUUCUGACGCUAUUUACCUGGAGCUGGUGUCAGAUCCCACAAGUUAAGGGCUCAGUCCAACAAAACCACUCUCAUUUCAGAUGUCAAUUGCAAAUCCCAGGUUGUCACUUGUACUUCUGACUAACUGGCUAUAAAUUGGGUUCCCUCAACCCUCUCCUCAGGUUCAAUAAUUUGCUAGAGUGGCCCACAGAACUCAGGAGAACACUUACUUAUGUUUACCGGUUUAUUAUAUAAUAAAAGAUAUGAUAAAUGAUACAGAUGAACAGUCUGAGGAAGAGAAACCCAGGGCGAGGUCUGGAUUCCAAGUGCGGGAGCUUCUGUCCCUGUGGAGUUGGGGUGGACCAGCCUCCCAGCUCGAGGUGUGCUCGCCAACCCAGAAGUUCCCUGAACUCUGCAGGUCAGGGAUUUUUUAUGGAGGCUUCAUCACGCAGGCAUGAUCAAUUACUACCUCAAUCUCCAGCCCUUCUCCCCUCCCCAAAGGAUAGGAGGUGGGGCUGGAAGUUCCAGGCUUCUAAUCAUGGCUUGAUUUUUCUGGUGCCUAGUCCCUAUCCUGAAGCUAUCCAGGAUCCCACCAAGAGUUGCCUCCUUACAGCAGAAGAUGCUCCUAUCACCCAGGAAAUUCCAAGGGAUUUAGGAUUUCUGCGUCGGGAACUGGGGUCAAAGAGCAAAUAGUAAAACAAAAGAUGCUCCUAGCACCUUUCUUGAUUAGAAAAUUACAAGGAUUUUAGGAGCUCUUGCCAGGAACCAAGGACAAAGACCAAAGUAUAUGUUUCCUAUUAUAUCAUAUUGUUAUACUGUCUGAGAUUCUUUUGUUUUCUUUCAGGAUCUUACCCCCGGUGUUAGUUCCCAUUAUGUUUCAAACAGGCUGU